RNAcentral lists this ribosomal RNA (400 nucleotides) under uncultured bacterium. RNAcentral's name for it is "bacterial SSU rRNA". It matches the Rfam family "Bacterial small subunit ribosomal RNA", at positions 356 to 773 of the family's 1533-position model. The record is from RNAcentral.
GGGGAAUAUUGGACAAUGGGCGAAAGCCUGAUCCAGCAAUGCCGCGUGAGUGAAGAAGGCCUUAGGGUUGUAAAGCUCUUUUACCCGGGAUGAUAAUGACAGUACCGGGAGAAUAAGCUCCGGCUAACUCCGUGCCAGCAGCCGCGGUAAUACGGAGGGAGCUAGCGUUGUUCGGAAUCACUGGGCGUAAAGCGCACGUAGGCGGCUUUGUAAGUUAGAGGUGAAAGCCCGGGGCUCAACUCCGGAACUGCCUUUAAGACUGCAUCGCUUGAAUCUGGGAGAGGUAAGUGGAAUUCCGAGUGUAGAGGUGAAAUUCGUAGAUAUUCGGAAGAACACCAGUGGCGAAGGCGGCUUACUGGACCAGAAUUGACGCUGAGGUGCGAAAGCGUGGGGAGCAAAC